GUACAAGCUUCGGCAGUGCAUAUACUAAAAUUGGAAUGAUACAACGAUGACAUUACCACUGCAUAAGAAUGACACGCCUAAUUCCAUAAUUUUUGUAUUUAU
This is a non-coding RNA of Octopus bimaculoides (California two-spot octopus), 102 nucleotides long. The record is from Rfam. NCBI's taxonomy places the organism in Eukaryota, Metazoa, Mollusca, Cephalopoda, Octopoda, Octopodidae.